This 253-nucleotide ribosomal RNA is filed under the name uncultured bacterium. Its description in RNAcentral is "partial 16S ribosomal RNA". It matches the Rfam family "Bacterial small subunit ribosomal RNA", at positions 524 to 776 of the family's 1533-position model. The record is from RNAcentral.
AACGUAGGACACGAGCGUUAUCCGGAGUUACUGGGCGUAAAGGGCGUGCAGGCGGUGCAGUAAGUUUGGAGUGACAGUACCCGGCUCAACUGGGUAAGGCCUUCGAAAACUGCUGGACUUGAGGGCCAGAGAGGGACAUAGAAUUCCGGGUGGAGUGGUGAAAUGCGUAGAUAUCCGGAGGAAUACCAAAGGCGAAGGCAGUGUCCUGGCUGGCAUCUGACGCUGAGGCGCGAAAGCUAGGGGAGCGAACAGG